CAGCAGCCGCGGGAACACGUGGGCGGCAAGCGUUGUCCGGAAUUAUUGGGCGUAAAGGGAGCGCAGGUGGGUCGGUAAGUCCGUCUUAAAAGGCAGGGGCUCAGCCCCUGUAAGGGAUGGAAACUAUCGAUCUUGAGUGCCGGAGAGGAAAGCGGAAUUCCCAGUGUAGCGGUGAAAUGCGUAGAUAUUGGGAAGAACACCAGUGGCGAAGGCGGCUUUCUGGACGGCAACUGACACUGAGGCUCGAAAGCCAGGGGAGCGAACGGGAUUAGAUACCCGGGUAGUCCCUGUCUCUUAUACC
RNAcentral lists this ribosomal RNA (301 nucleotides) under uncultured bacterium. RNAcentral describes it as "partial 16S ribosomal RNA". It matches the Rfam family "Bacterial small subunit ribosomal RNA", at positions 509 to 808 of the family's 1533-position model. The record is from RNAcentral.